Molecule: transfer RNA, 73 nt
Filed under: Stegodyphus mimosarum
Lineage: Eukaryota; Metazoa; Arthropoda; Arachnida; Araneae; Eresidae
Rfam family: tRNA
About the family: Transfer RNA (tRNA) molecules are approximately 80 nucleotides in length.
Source: Rfam by way of RNAcentral
GCCUUCGUAAUGUAGAGGUCAGCACGCUCGACGCGUAUUCGAGAGGUCCGUGGUUCGAGUCCCGGCGAAGGCA